This is a long non-coding RNA of Bufo bufo (common toad), 237 nucleotides long. RefSeq lists it as uncharacterized. NCBI's taxonomy places the organism in Eukaryota, Metazoa, Chordata, Amphibia, Anura, Bufonidae. The record is from RefSeq and is a predicted model, not a curated record. The transcript has 3 exons.
GAUGCUGGGCAAAUCAUGUUUUCCAAACUACUACCUGUACCACGAGUCACACAAGAAAGGCAGUGGGAGAUUAGGGAGGUUAACAAGUAGCUCAAGAACUGGUAUAGGAAGGCGGGGUUUGGGUCCCUGGAGAACAGGGCCGACUUCUCUGUCGGCUACAGGCUCUAUCGUAGGAAUGGGCUGCACCUCAAUAGGGAAGGGGCAGCUGAUAGCUAGAAGGUUGGAGGAGUGUUUAAA